UUAGAAACACUAUUGACAUUUCCACAUACGCAGAACAAAUCAACCGUGGCCAAACUUAAGUUGUUUGCACUUAAAGUAAAUCGGUGGACGGUUAUUAUUUAAUAACUGCUCGAAAUUUUACCAAGUAACAUAUUGAAAAAAAUUGGACUUUUAAACAUGUCAUCGCAUUGUAUGGCCGUAUUGAUUUUCUUAUUAUUGAUUAAUUGCUGGGGAGUAACGGAUACAGUAGCUACUGCAUUGUUACCUCAGAUUAUGAUACAAGCUUCAAAAUGUCCUGAAUGUCAAAUCCUUUCACAUUCAGGCAAUUGUCGCCCAGUCAUUAAAUUUGGCAAAGAUUCACCAUGCUACAUACACCCAGUGAUUUAAUGGUGGUUUUUGAAACUACCCAAGGAAUGUCUAUAGGAACAUCACUGCAUUUGGAUGGUUUAUAAAAUAUGUAAAAAGUUUUAUUUUAGAGCAAAUACAACAAUUGCGAACAUGAAUUUUUGAGUAACGUAUUAAAAAUGUUUGAAACGUUGA
Long non-coding RNA from Stomoxys calcitrans (stable fly), 519 nucleotides. RefSeq lists it as uncharacterized. Lineage: Eukaryota; Metazoa; Arthropoda; Insecta; Diptera; Muscidae. The record is from RefSeq and is a predicted model, not a curated record. The transcript is spliced from 2 exons.